Long non-coding RNA from Balaenoptera musculus (blue whale), 463 nucleotides. RefSeq lists it as uncharacterized. The record is from RefSeq and is a predicted model, not a curated record. The transcript is spliced from 3 exons. NCBI's taxonomy places the organism in Eukaryota, Metazoa, Chordata, Mammalia, Artiodactyla, Balaenopteridae.
CCGGGUGUUUGCUCCCUCUACCCUCCACGCCUCACUCCUAAAACCCUGCCAGCUGGAGUCCAGCACAGCAAGCUUCCUAACUGCCGGCUAGCAGCGGAGAGCUUCUUCCCGUCUCCAGGGAUCGUGCCAGUAGGAGCGCUGAUCCUUAAAGUAACUCCCAGGGACAUUUUGAACUUGUUUCUUCCAAAGGGAGCUCUGACUGGUUGGAACGUACUUCAGGCUUGAUCCUGUCACAGCUUCACAUGAGGCAGGAUCCUGAAAAGAAUGGAGAGAAAUGUCUGAACUCAGUUCCCAACUAUGGCACUAGACACUUGUGAGUGUCUUCACAUGCCUUUGGCUGAGCUCCAGGCAUGGCUGGAUAAAGCAGAGAUGGAAAAGCUUCAGCUGUAUUAUAUUCCCAGAGUCACAAAGACAGGUUUUUGCUUUGUUCUGAAUCCCUCUCAGAAGAAAAAUCCGUUUUUCU